AUCCUUUUGUAGAUCAUAAGCAUGAUGAUUGGGUUUUCACGCGCAUGCGUGAGAAGUGCCUCCCUCAAACCUUGUUACAACGUCGAUACUUUACCUGUCUGACA
Prolemur simus (greater bamboo lemur) is the source of this 104-nucleotide small nucleolar RNA. The record is from Ensembl. NCBI's taxonomy places the organism in Eukaryota, Metazoa, Chordata, Mammalia, Primates, Lemuridae.